GAGAAGAGGGGAGGAGGAACAGAUGAAGCCAGGAGGGCAGAUCAGAUGAGGCUGGUGGGAGGAGCAUCUUUGACUCCUUUCCAUUGAUUCCAUUCCAGGCAUUACAAUGGGCCCGUCCUCAUAUAGCUCCCUUCAGCCCUUUUCACGUCUUUCCAUAGAUUUUCAAGCCGAUUAAGUCAAAUCUGUAACUAGGCCACUCAGGAACAUUCAAUGUCUUCUUGGUAAGCAACUCAAGUGAAUACAUGGCCUUUUGCUCCCUCACUCAAAAAAAAGUAGGGGUUCAACAACGGUUCUUCUAAAAUCCUCAAACUUCCUUGUAAAACCUUUGUUUUUGGCACUGAAAAAUGCCCCCAAAAAGUCCUUCCAAGAACCCCAUAGGAGGUGGGGAUUCUUGCUGGAACCUAACUGCCCAACUGAAGGACUGCAGGUGCAGGCACAAAAAUUUUAAGAUCUCCUCAAUUUCAGGUAAGGUUCCUCCCUUUACGAUCUAAAUGUAUAUUGUUUUAUGAUGAUACCAUCUAUCUUUUUAUAUUUGUGCAGAUGGUUGUGUUAUUCGAGACUUUCUCCCUUUAAUUUUUUUUAUUUCUAAACCAGAAAAUUCAAUGGAUAUGACUCAACAAAGAGGUAAGAAUAUGUUGAAGGCUAUAGCACAGAUGACUGAAUUGCUCACUUAUUUGUGUGUCUGUUUGCAGGUAUACUGACGAGGAGGCACACAAAGGACUCAGUCACAGCAGCCAUCUUCCUCCUCCGUUACCUUUUCAAUGAAGAUCCCAGAGGCCUUCACAUUAUGGACAAGACUUCACCCUGCCUACACCUUUGAUGAAUAUAACAUGAAACCUGUUCGAUCACCAUGCACUGCAAAAUCAUUCUGGCUAUGGAUAGCCUACAGAGAACAUCAACAUCAACACGCCAGAGGAUAUACCAAUUGGACUUGGGGCUGGCAGUGUACCUCAUUUUUAGAUUUUUAGAUUCUGCUUUGCCACUAAAAUCCUAAUAAACACU
Oncorhynchus kisutch (coho salmon) is the source of this 1002-nucleotide long non-coding RNA. RefSeq lists it as uncharacterized. The record is from RefSeq and is a predicted model, not a curated record. NCBI's taxonomy places the organism in Eukaryota, Metazoa, Chordata, Actinopteri, Salmoniformes, Salmonidae. The transcript is spliced from 3 exons.